This 210-nucleotide ribosomal RNA is filed under the name uncultured bacterium. Its description in RNAcentral is "partial 16S ribosomal RNA". It matches the Rfam family "Bacterial small subunit ribosomal RNA", at positions 524 to 729 of the family's 1533-position model. The record is from RNAcentral.
UACGGAGGGUGCGAGCGUUUGUCCGGAUUUAUUGGGCGUAAAGCGCGGGCAGGCGGCCCCGUAAGUCGGCCGUGAAAGCGCCGGGCUCAACUCGGCGAGGACGGGCGAGACUGCGGGGCUCGAGCAAGGCAGAGGGCGGUGGAAUUCCGGGUGUAGUGGUGGAAUGCGUAGAGCUCCGGAGGAACACCACGUGGCGGAAGGACGGCCGGC